AAAAUAAAAGUUGGCUAUCCGCUGGAAUUGUUCGAAUAAAUUUUGAGGAAUGAAGGUGAUUAUAUUGUAUUUGGACGUUUUGAUUACAUUGUCCUGAAAUAGUUAAAUACAUUAAACAUCAAUGAUAAAUAUUUUCUUAUUCCAAUAUAC
Molecule: non-coding RNA, 150 nt
Organism: Caenorhabditis elegans
Lineage: Eukaryota; Metazoa; Nematoda; Chromadorea; Rhabditida; Rhabditidae
Source: Ensembl